UCUAAUAUGGCAGAAUAGUGCAAUGAGUUUAAGCUUCAUAUAUAAAGAUUUUUCUUUUUUUAGAA
RNAcentral lists this transfer RNA (65 nucleotides) under Sialis hamata. RNAcentral's name for it is "tRNA-Leu". The record is from RNAcentral. RNAcentral also lists the same sequence under 1 other name. Lineage: Eukaryota; Metazoa; Arthropoda; Insecta; Megaloptera; Sialidae.